CUCGGGGAUUGUACACACCGCCCGUCAAGUCACGAAAGCUGGCAACACCCGAAGUCAGUGGCCCACCUUUUUGGAGGGAGCUGCCGAAGGUGGGGUUGGUAAUUGGGACU
RNAcentral lists this ribosomal RNA (110 nucleotides) under uncultured bacterium. RNAcentral's name for it is "partial 16S ribosomal RNA". It matches the Rfam family "Bacterial small subunit ribosomal RNA", at positions 1373 to 1482 of the family's 1533-position model. The record is from RNAcentral.